CCUACGGGUGGCAGCAGUAGGGAAUAUUGCUCAAUGGGGGAAACCCUGAAGCAGCAACGCCGCGUGGAGGAUGAAGGUUUUCGGAUCGUAAACUCCUUUUGUUAGAGAAGAUAAUGACGGUAUCUAACGGAUAAGCACCGGCUAACUCCGUGCCAGCAGCCGCGGUAAUACGGAGGGUGCAAGCGUUACUCGGAAUCACUGGGCGUAAGGAGCGCGGAGGCGGGAUAGCAAGUCAGAUGUGAAAUCCUAUGGCUUAACCAUAGAAGUGCAUUUGAAACUGGUAUACUGGAGUAUGGGAGAGGAGAGUGGAAGUCUAUGUGUAGGGGUAAAAUGCGUAGAGAUCAAGAGGAAUACCAGUGGCGAAAGCGACCCGCUAGACCAUAACUGACGCUGAUGCGCGAAAGCGUGGGGAGCAAACAGGAUUAGAUACCCGUGUAGUC
This 440-nucleotide ribosomal RNA is filed under the name uncultured bacterium. RNAcentral's name for it is "partial 16S ribosomal RNA". It matches the Rfam family "Bacterial small subunit ribosomal RNA", at positions 338 to 795 of the family's 1533-position model. The record is from RNAcentral.